Molecule: unclassified non-coding RNA, 148 nt
Filed under: soil metagenome
Description: partial internal transcribed spacer 1
Source: RNAcentral
UAAUAAGUGUUUUAUGGCACUUUUUAAAUCAUAUCCACCUUGUGUGCAAUGUCAGGUCGAUUUCUUUUUUCGUAGGAUCGACCAAACAUCAACUUAUUCUAUUGAACUCUUUGUCUGAAAACUAUUAUGAAUAAACUAAUUCAAAAUA